RNAcentral lists this ribosomal RNA (407 nucleotides) under uncultured bacterium. Its description in RNAcentral is "bacterial SSU rRNA". It matches the Rfam family "Bacterial small subunit ribosomal RNA", at positions 354 to 753 of the family's 1533-position model. The record is from RNAcentral.
GUGGGGAAUAUUGGACAACGGGGGCAACCCUGAUCCAGCCAUGCCGCGUGAGUGAAGAAGGCCCUCGGGUUGUAAAGCUCUUUUGUCCGGAAAGAAAAGCUUCGGGUUAAUACCCCGGGGUUCUGACGGUACCGGAAGAAUAAGCACCGGCUAACUUCGUGCCGGCAGCCGCGGUAAUACGAAGGGUGCAAGCGUUACUCGGAAUUACUGGGCGUAAAGCGUGCGUAGGUGGUUGUUUAAGUCUGAUGUGAAAGCCCUGGGCUCAACCUGGGGAUGGCACUGGCAGGUGGGUAGCUAGAGUGCGGUAUAGGGAAGGGGAAUUCCCGGUGUAGCAGUGAAAUGCGUAGAGAUCGGGAGGAACAUCUGUGGCGAAGGCGACUGCCUGGACCAGCACUGACACUGAGGCA